CAGGGUACUGAUGUGGAUGAUCAGCCAUGAGUCUACUGAAAGAUGGAACUAUUCUGUAGAACUCAGUUGUGUACUGUUCCUAUUUACUGUGAUACGUUUUAAUGUAAAGAUACAUUCCUACAUCCACUCUAUGAAUAACUUCCCUUAAAGGGCAAAGGGCAACAAAGAACAAAAUGGUGAAGAGUAGUAGGAGAUGGUUGGAGUGGGUGUCGGGUGAGAAAUAAACCCAUAGAAGAAGAGACAUAUAGGGAAUUUGUGGUGAAAAUAAUUCUCUGACUCAUACCCUAUAUCUCUGCUGCAAACUCUGACUCAUACCCUAUACCUCUGCUAAAAGAACUUUUGAUGUAUUUUUCCCAUUGCCUACAUCAAGUGUACUUACUACCUCUUUAAAUGAUUUCUUCUCCAGAAUUAUAGACAAUGAGCUGGAAAGAUGUUAGUCAAGUUAAUUUCACAACAGACCGUCUUCAGCCAGCAAAAACAGAAGAAGUUCAUUCCAUUAGUUGGGCUGGAUUCAAAUCCCACGCGUAAGAGAUGCCGAACCUGAUGUAGCUCUGCAGUCAGGUUCACUACAGUCACUCCAUGGUAUUGGGCCAUUAGCCAAAGACAAUUCUUGUCUAGGAAGAACUUGUGUUUGGGACUCAAUGCUGAGACUCCAGGCAGAACACUUCCAGUCUCAACGGAGAACAGUCUUUUCAUUUCAGUCAGAAGUCUGUCUAUAACCGGAUAGCAACAGUGGUUGCGAAGGUCAUCAGAGGAUGUGACAGUACUUUAGUGAAGCUUGGUACACUCCUGACAAAAGCAACCUCCUGGGAGGAUCUUGUAUAUUGAUCCAAAG
Molecule: long non-coding RNA, 835 nt
Organism: Mobula hypostoma (lesser devil ray)
Lineage: Eukaryota; Metazoa; Chordata; Chondrichthyes; Myliobatiformes; Myliobatidae
Exons: 3
Source: RefSeq, a predicted model, not a curated record